AGUGAACGCUGGCGGUAGGCCUAACACAUGCAAGUCGAACGGCAGCACAGUAAGAGCUUGCUCUUACGGGUGGCGAGUGGCGGACGGGUGAGGAAUACAUCGGAAUCUACUUUUUCGUGGGGGAUAACGUAGGGAAACUUACGCUAAUACCGCAUACGACCUACGGGUGAAAGCAGGGGAUCUUCGGACCUUGCGCGAUUGAAUGAGCCGAUGUCGGAUUAGCUAGUUGGCGGGGUAAAGGCCCACCAAGGCGACGAUCCGUAGCUGGUCUGCGAGGAUGAUCAGCCACACUGGACCUGAGACACGGUCCAGACUCCUACGGGAGGCAGCAGUGGGGAAUAUUGGACAAUGGGCGCAAGCCUGAUCCAGCCAUACCGCGUGGGUGAAGAAGGCCUUCGGGUUGUAAAGCCCUUUUGUUGGGAAAGAAAAGCAGCAGGUUAAUACCCCGCUGUUCUGACGGUACCCAAAGAAUAAGCACCGGCUAACUUCGU
RNAcentral lists this ribosomal RNA (491 nucleotides) under uncultured bacterium. RNAcentral's name for it is "partial 16S ribosomal RNA". It matches the Rfam family "Bacterial small subunit ribosomal RNA", at positions 29 to 506 of the family's 1533-position model. The record is from RNAcentral.